CCUACGGGAGGCAGCAGUGGGGAAUUUUGGACAAUGGGCGCAAGCCUGAUCCAGCAAUGCCGCGUGAGUGAAGAAGGCCUUCGGGUUGUAAAGCUCUUUUGUCAGGGAAGAAACGGUGGGGGCUAAUAUCCCUCGCUAAUGACGGUACCUGAAGAAUAAGCACCGGCUAACUACGUGCCAGCAGCCGCGGUAAUACGUAGGGUGCAAGCGUUAAUCGGAAUUACUGGGCGUAAAGCGUGCGCAGGCGGUUUUGUAAGUCUGUCGUGAAAGCCCCGGGCUCAACCUGGGAAUUGCGAUGGAGACUGCAAGGCUUGAAUCUGGCAGAGGGGGGUAGAAUUCCACGUGUAGCAGUGAAAUGCGUAGAGAUGUGGAGGAACACCGAUGGCGAAGGCAGCCCCCUGGGUCAAGAUUGACGCUCAUGCACGAAAGCGUGGGGAGCAAACAGGAUUAGAUACCCUGGUAGUCCACGCCCUAAACGAUGUCUACUAGUUGUCGGGUUUUAAUUAACUUGGUAACGCAGCUAACGCGUGAAGUAGACCGCCUGGGGAGUACGGUCGCAAGAUUAAAACUCAAAGGAAUUGACCGGNUGAGACGUGCGACGGACGACGACGAGGGAGGAGG
Molecule: ribosomal RNA, 621 nt
Filed under: uncultured bacterium
Lineage: Bacteria
Description: bacterial SSU rRNA
Rfam family: Bacterial small subunit ribosomal RNA
Source: RNAcentral